GUGAAUCAUCGAAUUUUUGAACGCAAAUUGCACUCUCUGCGGAUAGGAUGCCUGUUUGAGUUUCAGGCUAAGAAAAUAUACAUAGUGGCUGUUACGCUGUAACAUGCGGCGGAAAUUGGGUCAUCUUAAACCUUUGGGUUUAAUCGGCUUAAAAUUUUCUUUACGAUUCCAAUAACGAUGCUAAGAUUUGAUUUUAUUAUACUUUUAGGU
This 210-nucleotide unclassified non-coding RNA is filed under the name Glomus sp. Its description in RNAcentral is "partial internal transcribed spacer 2". The record is from RNAcentral. Lineage: Eukaryota; Fungi; Glomeromycota; Glomeromycetes; Glomerales; Glomeraceae.